GAUGAAGAACGUAGCGAAAUGCGAUAAGUAGUGUGAAUUGCAGAAUUCAGUGAAUCAUCGAAUCUUUGAACGCACAUUGCGCCCCUUGAUAUUCCAUGGGGCAUGCCUGUUCGAGCGUCAUUUGUACCUUCAAGCUUUGCUUGGUGUUGGGUGUUUGUCUCGCCUUUGCGUGUAGACUCGCCUUAAAAUAAUUGGCAGCCGGCGUAUUGAUUUCGGAGCGCAGUACAUCUCGCGCUUUGCACUCAUAACGACAGCGUCCAAAAGUACAUUUUACACUCUUGACCUCGGAUCAGGUAGGGAUACCCGCUGAACUUAAGCAUAUCAAUAAGCGGAGGA
This 336-nucleotide unclassified non-coding RNA is filed under the name soil metagenome. RNAcentral describes it as "partial contains 5.8S ribosomal RNA, internal transcribed spacer 2, and large subunit ribosomal RNA". The stretch from base 1 to 120 matches the Rfam family "5.8S ribosomal RNA", at positions 35 to 154 of the family's 154-position model. The record is from RNAcentral.